AGUGAGCGCUGGCGGUAGGCCUAACACAUGCAAGUCGAACGGCAGCACAGGAGAGCUUGCUCUCUGGGUGGCGAGUGGCGGACGGGUGAGGAAUACAUCGGAAUCUGCCCAGUCGUGGGGGAUAACGUAGGGAAACUUACGCUAAUACCGCAUACGACCUUCGGGUGAAAGAGGGGGAUCGCAAGACCUCUCGCGAUUGGAUGAGCCGAUGUCGGAUUAGCUAGUUGGCGGGGUAAUGGCCCACCAAGGCGACGAUCCGUAGCUGGUCUGAGAGGAUGAUCAGCCACACUGGAACUGAGACACGGUCCAGACUCCUACGGGAGGCAGCAGUGGGGAAUAUUGGACAAUGGGCGCAAGCCUGAUCCAGCCAUACCGCGUGGGUGAAGAAGGCCUUCGGGUUGUAAAGCCCUUUUGUUGGGAAAGAAAUCUUUCAGGCUAAUACCCUGGGAGGAUGACGGUACCCAAAGAAUAAGCACCGGCUAACUUCGUG
RNAcentral lists this ribosomal RNA (490 nucleotides) under uncultured bacterium. Its description in RNAcentral is "partial 16S ribosomal RNA". It matches the Rfam family "Bacterial small subunit ribosomal RNA", at positions 29 to 507 of the family's 1533-position model. The record is from RNAcentral.